Molecule: unclassified non-coding RNA, 332 nt
Filed under: soil metagenome
Description: partial contains 5.8S ribosomal RNA, internal transcribed spacer 2, and large subunit ribosomal RNA
Rfam family: 5.8S ribosomal RNA (bases 1-120)
Source: RNAcentral
GAUGAAGAACGUAGCGAAAUGCGAUAAGUAAUGUGAAUUGCAGAAUUCAGUGAAUCAUCGAAUCUUUGAACGCACAUUGCGCUCGCCAGUAUUCUGGCGAGCAUGCCUGUUCGAGCGUCAUUUCAACCAUCAAGCUCUGCUUGCGUUGGGGAUCCGCGGCUGUCCGCGGUCCCUCAAAAUCAGUGGCGGGCUCGCUAGUCACACCGAGCGUAGUAACUCUACAUCGCUAUGGUCGUGCGGCGGGUUCUUGCCGUAAAACCCCCCAUUUCUAAGGUUGACCUCGGAUCAGGUAGGAAUACCCGCUGAACUUAAGCAUAUCAAUAAGCGGAGGA